CUCUAGCCCCGAUCGCAACGGCAUCCUUUUAUGAAGCUUUAGCGGAAUAAAAGAUAUAGUGGAGAGCGGGAAACAGC
Molecule: small RNA, 77 nt
Filed under: Kaistella jeonii
Lineage: Bacteria; Pseudomonadati; Bacteroidota; Flavobacteriia; Flavobacteriales; Weeksellaceae
Description: Chryseobacterium jeonii Flavo-1 RNA
Rfam family: Flavo-1 RNA
Source: RNAcentral